Molecule: transfer RNA, 82 nt
Filed under: Microbacterium sp. T2.11-28
Lineage: Bacteria; Bacillati; Actinomycetota; Actinomycetes; Micrococcales; Microbacteriaceae
Description: tRNA-Leu(tag)
Rfam family: tRNA
About the family: Transfer RNA (tRNA) molecules are approximately 80 nucleotides in length. Their secondary structure includes four short double-helical elements and three loops (D, anti-codon, and T loops).
Source: RNAcentral
GCGGGAGUGGUGGAAUGGCAGACACGCAGGAUUUAGGUUCCUGUGCCGAAAGGCGUGUGGGUUCAAGUCCCACCUUCCGCAC